This 1252-nucleotide long non-coding RNA is filed under the name Homo sapiens (human). RNAcentral's name for it is "non-protein coding lnc-MMRN1-12:9". Lineage: Eukaryota; Metazoa; Chordata; Mammalia; Primates; Hominidae. The record is from RNAcentral.
GGCAACUCGCUGGGGUCCCCUUCCACCCUUUGAAAACUUUGUUCUUUGGUUCUUUGCAAUAAAUGUUGCUGCUGCUCACUCUUCGGGUCUGCACUGGCUUUAUGAGCUGUAACACUCACUGCGAAGGUCUGCAGCUUCACUCCUGGAGCCAGUGAGACCCCGAGCCCACCGGGAGGACCGAAGAACUUCAGAUGCGCCGCGUUAAGAGCUGUAACACUCACCGCGAAGGUCUGCAGCUUCACUCCUGAGCCAGCGAGACCACGAACCCACCAGAAGGAAGAAACUCGGAACACAUCCGAAUAUCAGUAGGAACAAACUCCGGACACGCCGCUUUUAAGAACUGUAACACUCACCUCGAGGGUCCGCGGCUUCAUUCUUGAAGUCAGGGAGACCAAGAACCCCCCAAUUCCGGACACAGGGGGACUUGGCUGCUUCCUGUUUCUAUCAUAGACGCAGCUGGCCUCAGAAUAUUCCACUUAUGGAUGAAAGAAUGAUAGUGUUAUUUUAUGGAAGAAUUUAAGAAGAUGUUGCGGUAUCAUCGACUUUAUUUUUUGUUCAUUCUGAAAAUCACAUCGCCAGAUCCAACACCUUUUUAUCCCAAUCACCAGUACAAGCCACCCGUAUCAGUGUACACUGUGGCUGACCGAUCCAUAGUGAUGCUUUGAGGUGGGUGUCAUUGUGACUGGCUGCUACCUCCCCAUGAGUCUUCUAAAAUAAAACCUGCAAAUUCACAUCUUCCCCAUGCUUCCAGAGAAUGCAUAUUCUUCCUUUGAAAAAAGAAAACCAGGUAGUCGUACAGUGUCCAGAAGGCAAAAGGACAAGUAUGCACUGCCCUACUUACCUACUUUCCACACUGCUGCACAGGAAAAUCUGACAGAGGACAAUAACAAACAUCUCACCAGCUCAUGCGUUCUUUUUUGAUCCUAAUUCCGAGAGACUCACCAAAGACAUGAAGAGAAAACAAACAAUACUUUUCUUGGAAAUAUUGUAAUUGCUGGUACAUUUGUUGUUCUGGCAUAAAGUAGAAAUUGUCAGUUACCAGAACAAUACUCAGUGAACUUAUGAAUAUAUGGUAAAUAUUAAACACAUCCCACUUGGAUGAGAAGAUAUGUGAGUCGAUGAGUAUAGCUAAGUCUAAAGUUAGAUGUGUUCCAUAAACAUAGUGUUUAUGGAGUUGGUGCAUAUUCACUUCUCAAUUGAAGCCACAAAAUCCACAGCACACAAAGACCCUGCUACCAUGUAUUCACUUCAG